Molecule: unclassified non-coding RNA, 328 nt
Filed under: soil metagenome
Description: partial contains 5.8S ribosomal RNA, internal transcribed spacer 2, and large subunit ribosomal RNA
Rfam family: 5.8S ribosomal RNA (bases 1-120)
Source: RNAcentral
GAUGAAGAACGUAGCGAAAUGCGAUAAGUAAUGUGAAUUGCAGAAUUCAGUGAAUCAUCGAAUCUUUGAACGCACAUUGCGCCCUCUGGUAUUCCGGGGGGCAUGCCUGUUCGAGCGUCAUUAUAACCACUCAAGCUCUCGCUUGGUAUUGGAGUUCGCGAUCUCGCGGCUCCUAAAAUCAGUGGCGGUGCCUGUCGGCUCUACGCGUAGUAAUACUCCUCGCGAUUGAGUCCGGUAGGUUUACUUGCCAGCAACCCCCAAUUUUUACAGGUUGACCUCGGAUCAGGUAGGGAUACCCGCUGAACUUAAGCAUAUCAUAAGCGGAGGA